GUCCACGCCGUAAACGAUGAGAACUAGGUGUGGGAGGUGUCGACUCCUCCCGUGCCGUCGCUAACGCAUUAAGUUCUCCGCCUGGGGAGUACGGCCGCAAGGCUAAAACUCAAAGGAAUUGACGGGGGCCCGCACAAGCAGCGGAGCAUGUGGUUUAAUUCGAUGCAACGCGAAGAACCUUACCUGGGUUUGAAAUGUUGGUGACAGGUGUGGAAACACAUCCUUCCUUCGGGACACCAUCACAGGUGGUGCAUGGCUGUCGU
RNAcentral lists this ribosomal RNA (263 nucleotides) under uncultured bacterium. RNAcentral describes it as "partial 16S ribosomal RNA". It matches the Rfam family "Bacterial small subunit ribosomal RNA", at positions 793 to 1055 of the family's 1533-position model. The record is from RNAcentral.